UAGGGAAUAUUGCUCAAUGGGCGAAAGCCUGAAGCAGCAACGCCGCGUGUGCGAUGAAGGUCUUCGGAUCGUAAAGCACUUUUCUGAGAGAUGAGAAAGGACAGUAUCUCAGGAAUAAGUCUCGGCUAACUACGUGCCAGCAGCCGCGGUAACACGUAGGAGGCGAGCGUUAUCCGGAUUCACUGGGCGUAAAGCGCGUGCAGGCGGUUUGGUAAGUUGGGCGUGAAAGCUCCCGGCUCAACUGGGAGAGGUCGUCCAAUACUACCAGACUUGAGAGCAGAAGAGGAAGAUGGAAUUCCCGGUGUAGUGGUGAAAUGCGUAGAUAUCGGGAGGAACACCAGUGGCGAAGGCGAUCUUCUGGUCUGUUUCUGACGCUCAGACGCGACAGCUAGGGUAGUAAACGGGAUUAGAGACCCCGGUAAUCCUAGCCGUAAACGAUGUGAACUUGGCGUUGGUGGCUUAAACACCAUCAGUGCC
Molecule: ribosomal RNA, 477 nt
Filed under: uncultured bacterium
Lineage: Bacteria
Description: bacterial SSU rRNA
Rfam family: Bacterial small subunit ribosomal RNA
Source: RNAcentral